This 62-nucleotide ribosomal RNA is filed under the name Citrus reticulata (mandarin orange). RNAcentral's name for it is "partial large subunit ribosomal RNA". The record is from RNAcentral. Lineage: Eukaryota; Viridiplantae; Streptophyta; Magnoliopsida; Sapindales; Rutaceae.
UUGCCAACCCAGGGCAAGGCGGAAUACCCGCUGAAUUUAAGCAUAUCAUAAACCCGGAAGAA